UACGAAGGGGGCUAGCGUUGCUCGGAAUCACUGGGCGUAAAGCGCACGUAGGCGGGUCGUUAAGUCAGGGGUGAAAUCCCAGAGCUCAACUCUGGAACUGCCUUUGAUACUGGCGACCUAGAGUUCGGAAGAGGUUAGUGGAAUUCCCAGUGUAGAGGUGAAAUUCGUAGAUAUUGGGAAGAACACCAGUGGCGAAGGCGGCUAACUGGUCCGAUACUGACGCUGAGGUGCGAAAGCGUGGGGGGCAAACAGG
This 253-nucleotide ribosomal RNA is filed under the name uncultured bacterium. Its description in RNAcentral is "partial 16S ribosomal RNA". It matches the Rfam family "Bacterial small subunit ribosomal RNA", at positions 524 to 776 of the family's 1533-position model. The record is from RNAcentral.